CCGAGUACCGGUACCCUCUUGGGUACCUGCUCCCACCAUUUGUGAACCUUUUUCGUUGCCUCGGCGGACCGGUGGUUACCCCACCCCUCGGCCCUCACGGGCUGGGGAGCGUCCGCCAGAGGAUUCUCAAACCCGUCUUAACCGUGGAAUCUGAGUUUAAACAAAAUAAAAACA
RNAcentral lists this unclassified non-coding RNA (174 nucleotides) under uncultured fungus. RNAcentral's name for it is "sequence contains ITS1, 5.8S rRNA gene". Lineage: Eukaryota; Fungi. The record is from RNAcentral.